GCGCCCGUAGCUCAGCCCGGAUAGAGCACUAGCCUCCGGAGCUAGGUGUCAGAGGUUCAAAUCCUCUCGGGCGUA
RNAcentral lists this transfer RNA (75 nucleotides) under Acidobacteriota bacterium. RNAcentral describes it as "Acidobacteria bacterium tRNA-Arg". It matches the Rfam family "tRNA". From Rfam's summary of the family: Transfer RNA (tRNA) molecules are approximately 80 nucleotides in length. Their secondary structure includes four short double-helical elements and three loops (D, anti-codon, and T loops). Further hydrogen bonds mediate the characteristic L-shaped molecular structure. tRNAs have two regions of fundamental functional importance: the anti-codon, which is responsible for specific mRNA codon recognition, and the 3' end, to which the tRNAs corresponding amino acid is attached (by aminoacyl-tRNA synthetases). tRNAs cope with the degeneracy of the genetic code in two manners: having more than one tRNA (with a specific anti-codon) for a particular amino acid; and 'wobble' base-pairing, i.e. permitting non-standard base-pairing at the 3rd anti-codon position. The record is from RNAcentral. Lineage: Bacteria; Pseudomonadati; Acidobacteriota.